RNAcentral lists this ribosomal RNA (554 nucleotides) under uncultured eukaryote. Its description in RNAcentral is "bacterial SSU rRNA". It matches the Rfam family "Eukaryotic small subunit ribosomal RNA", at positions 587 to 1139 of the family's 1831-position model. The record is from RNAcentral.
AGCUCCAAUAGCGUACGUUAAAGUUGCUGCAGUUAAAAAGCUCGUAGUUGAACGUUCGGGUUCCGCGGGACGGGGCCGCCCCGCGAGGGACGGCGCCGCCCCGGGGCUCGUGAUAUCUUAUCUCGCCGCCCGUCGCGAGGCGGACGGAGGGAUGGAUGAGGUUACCUGGAAAAAAUCGGGGCGAUCUAGGCGGGCGAACCUCGCCAACGAACGAUCGGACAUGGGAUAACGGAAGAGGGCGUCGGCUCGACUUCGUCGGUUCCUCGGGGCCGAGGCACGUACGGUGAAUAGGGACGGUCGGGGCCGCCCGUACCGGGUCGUGAGAGGUGAAAUUCUAGGAUCGACCCGAGACGAACUGCCGCGAAAGCAUUCGGCAAGGACGCUUUCAUUAAUCAAGAACGAAAGUCGGGGGAUCGAAGACGAUCAGAUACCGUCGUAGUCCCGACCGUAAACGAUGCCGACCGAGGGCCCGGAGGAGUUACGUACGACCCUCCGGGCCCUCCGCGAGAAAUCAGGAGUAUUCGGGUUCCGGGGGGAGUAUGGUCGCAAGGCCG